Molecule: ribosomal RNA, 430 nt
Filed under: Pseudomonadota bacterium
Lineage: Bacteria; Pseudomonadati; Pseudomonadota
Description: Proteobacteria bacterium partial 16S ribosomal RNA
Rfam family: Bacterial small subunit ribosomal RNA
Source: RNAcentral
UGGGGAAUAUUCGACAAUGGGGGGAACCCUGAUCCAGCCAUGCCGCGUGUGUGAAGAAGGCCUUAUGGUUGUAAAGCACUUUAAGCGAGGAGGAGGGUACUGGUAUUAAUACUACCAGGUACUGGACGUUACUCGCAGAAUAAGCACCGGCUAACUCUGUGCCAGCAGCCGCGGUAAUACAGAGGGUGCAAGCGUUAAUCGGAAUUACUGGGCGUAAAGCGCGCGUAGGUGGUUCGUUAAGUUGAAAGUGAAAGCCCCGGGCUCAACCUGGGAACUGCAUCCAAAACUGGCGAGCUAGAGUAGGGCAGAGGGUGGUGGAAUUUCCUGUGUAGCGGUGAAAUGCGUAGAUAUAGGAAGGAACACCAGUGGCGAAGGCGACCACCUGGGCUCAUACUGACACUGAGGUGCGAAAGCGUGGGGAGCAAACAGG